This 498-nucleotide ribosomal RNA is filed under the name uncultured bacterium. RNAcentral's name for it is "partial 16S ribosomal RNA". It matches the Rfam family "Bacterial small subunit ribosomal RNA", at positions 30 to 523 of the family's 1533-position model. The record is from RNAcentral.
AUUGAACGCUGGCGGCAUGCCUUACACAUGCAAGUCGAACGGUAACAGGUCUUCGGAUGCUGACGAGUGGCGAACGGGUGAGUAAUACAUCGGAACGUGCCUAGUAGUGGGGGAUAACUACUCGAAAGAGUGGCUAAUACCGCAUGAGAUCUACGGAUGAAAGCAGGGGAUCGCAAGACCUUGUGCUACUAGAGCGGCCGAUGGCAGAUUAGGUAGUUGGUGGGAUAAAAGCUUACCAAGCCGACGAUCUGUAGCUGGUCUGAGAGGACGAUCAGCCACACUGGGACGGAGACACGGCCCAGACUCCUACGGGAGGCAGCAGUGGGGAAUUGUGGACAAUGGGCGCAAGGCUGGUCCAGCAAUGCCGCGUGCAGGAUGAAGGCCUUCGGGUUGUAAACUGCUUUCGUACGGAACGAAAAGCCCCGGGUUAAUACCCUGGGGUCAUGACGGUACCGUAAGAAUAAGCACCGGCUAACUACGUGCCAGCCGCCGCCGUAA